UUUGGGCAAGUCAUCAGAAGAAUAGGAGCUUUGUCCAUGUGUCUGACUGGAGUAUGCAAUGGGCAGAAUAUUAAUGGGUAGAUUAUUGACCUCAUCUGAUAUUCCAAAUGGCCUUGUUCUCUUCAAUACAUGUUCAGAAUCUGCUGUUUGAUAAUCGAUAGAUGGAUUAUUUGUAGGAGUCCUAGGACGCUUUAAUAUUGCUGCAUUGUUAGGAGCAGAUAAACC
This 225-nucleotide unclassified non-coding RNA is filed under the name Hevea brasiliensis (rubber tree). The record is from RNAcentral. Lineage: Eukaryota; Viridiplantae; Streptophyta; Magnoliopsida; Malpighiales; Euphorbiaceae.